CCUACGGGGGGCAGCAGUGAGGAAUAUUGGUCAAUGGCCGGAAGGCUGAACCAGCCAUGCCGCGUGAAGGUCAGUGCCCUAUGGGCGUUAAACUUCUUUUGUGCGGGAGCAAUAAUGGUCACGUGUGGCCAGACGAGAGUACCGUACGAAUAAGCAUCGGCUAACUCCGUGCCAGCAGCCGCGGUAAUAAGGGGGAUGCAAGCGUUAUCCGGAUUUAAUGGGUUUAAAGGGUGCGUAUGCUGUGAGGUAAGUCAGCGGUGAAAUGCCCCCGCGCAAGGGGGUGAAGGUCCAUUGAUACGGCCUUGCUGGAAUGCGGAUGCCGUGGGAGGAAUGUGUGGUGUAGCGGUGAAAUGCAUAGAUAUCACACAGAACACCGAUUGCGAAGGCAUCUCACGAAUCCGCGAUUGACGCUGAUGCACGAAAGCGUGGGUAUCAAACAGGAUUAGAUACCCGAGUAGUC
This 460-nucleotide ribosomal RNA is filed under the name uncultured bacterium. RNAcentral describes it as "partial 16S ribosomal RNA". It matches the Rfam family "Bacterial small subunit ribosomal RNA", at positions 338 to 795 of the family's 1533-position model. The record is from RNAcentral.